UGAUGGCAAAGUUGUUUCCUACUAAAUAUGUGUAGACUAGCAAUGCCAUCGUAUUCCCAAGCCCCUAUAGUGUAAUUUAGACGAAACAGUCAUUAGCCCCGGUUUAAAGUCAUUAGCCAGCCCCGUUCUACUUUUGAGGAUCAAUAUGGCUGCGGCGUCUGUAGAACGUUCAUAACAAUGGCAACGACGUGACGGAGAAUUUGGCAGUACGUCCAACCAGCCUCACAACCACAGACCACGUGUAACCACGCUAGCCCAGGACCUCCACAUCCGGCUUCGUCACCUGGGUGAUUGUCUGAGACCAGCCACCUGGACAGCUGAUGAAACUGUGGGUUUGCACAAAUCUCGGCACAAACUGUACCGGGAUGAUGGCAGACAGCGUGUUUGGCAUUGUGUGGACUUGCUGCGCUGUGCCAUCCCCACGGCUUCCACAAAGGAUCAGUCCACUCAGACAGGCGCAAAUCAGACAGGUGUCUUCUUUUUUUUUUGCUACUGCUCGACUAAAAGAAGUCUCAGUCGACCAACAGCCUAUCGACUGUUUCAAACAAUCAACCAAUCGACUAUAUGGGGUCAGCACUACAACGAACACAAUUGGAUUUUAUCGAUGGCAAUUUGAAUGCAUAGAGAUACCAUGAUGAGAUCAUGAGGCCCAUUGUCAUGCCAUUCCUCCGCCACCAUCACUGCAUGUUUCAGCAUGAUAAUGCACAGCCCCAUGUUGCAAUGAUCUGUACACAAUUCCUGGAAGAUGAAAAUGGCCCAGUUCUUCCACGGCCUGAAAACUCAUUGAGCAUGUUUGGGAUGCUCUGGGUCGGUGUAUGACAGCGUUUUCCAGUUUCCGUCAAUAUCCGCCAACUCCGCACAGCCAUUGAAGAGGUCUGGGACAAUAUUCCACAGGCCACAAUCAACAGGUUGAUCAACACUACGCAAAGGAUAUGUGUCGCGCUGCAUGAGGCAAAUCGUGGAUACACCAGAUAAGGGCUGGUUUUCUGAUCCACGCCACUACUUUCUUUUUAAGGUAUCUGUGACCAACAGAUGUAUGUCUGUAUUCCCUGGCAUGUGAAAUCCAUAAAUUGGGGUCUAUCAAUUGACUGAUUUUCUUAAAUGAACUGUAACUCUUUGAAAUUGUUGCAUGUUGUGUUUCUUUUUUGUUCAGUGUAUUUUGUUUAACAUUGGCUCAAACUUCAGAGGCUUAACAUAUUUCUAUGAGAAAAUAAAUUGAAAGGUGUACACAACACAGUUUGACGAUACUGAUGGACUCCACAUUAGACUAUCAUAAACAUAGGAGCCCCUGACAAUGAGCAUCCUGUUGCAGGCUUAUCUGGGGGACAACCUGCUGCCUAUCUUUCUACAUAGAAUGAUUGCAUGCAGAGCAUGAACAGUGUGUAGGCACGCAUCCCUGGUAGCACUUUUAUACUUUUUAUUUUUUCAAGCAAGUUCCCAUAGUUCAGAGAGAGAGAGAGCAUAACCUCAGAGUACCACUCAUUUCCCUCCUUCCUGAAACUGAGAAAUAAGGUUGUCACUAAAAGUUCACCAACUAUGCUGAUACUGAGCCAUUGAGAGGAUAAAAUUAAUUCUAAAAUGUCAAAUGAGGCAAGAAACAACUCAAAACCAGGGAGCGAUGAAAAGGUACAACAGACGGUUAUCGGUGUCGUGAUAGAGCAAGAGACAGAACAGACACAGUGCAGACCACUGCUUUGAAGAACGGUAGUGCUGAUUUCCCCGAUCAACAGGAUAACUAACACACACAGAGUGUAAUCUACGUGAGCAAGGCAAUAUGCUGAACAUAAUUAAUUACCGCAAGAUGUAAAUGAGCUUCUUCCCCAGUAGUCAGUGAAUGGCUGGGAUGGACGCGGCGCAGCGUGUAUGGUUGAAGCAGGGUGCCGGCCCGUGUAGCUAGAUUGGUUGCCACCAGACUCCCAGUAACGUGGAAGAUAUAGACAGUGCCGCCUCGCUUCUUGUUUGUCCACUGAUGGGAGUCUUGUUUAGCCCAGCUGCGUCUCCAUGGAAGUGGCACCUUGAGAGGCUCCACCACCCCCCCACCCCUCCCAAUCCCCCGUUUGCCCAUGCAGCUUCCCAGCACACCCUGGUGUGAGGCAGUGUUUGUCAAGAUACACCAGCCCCUGGCACAAAGCCCAGACGGCAUUUUUCCCCCGUGCAACUUUUAUCCAACGUAAAACAGAAGCCAACAAGGACAGGGCUCUUAGAAAGCAUCAUUAGGCACUAAGUGAACAGACAGCAAUUUGAGCCCCCCCUCCUAGUCUUUUUUUGUGGGGGGGUUCUUUUCUCAAGCUUUAUACCGACCAAAGGUGUCCGUUGAUUGAUAUUCAGCUCACGGAAGAAAAAGACGUCCGUGAACAAAAAAGGGAACAUAUCGGUGCUGAAUGGUUUUGAAAAGAAUGUCCUCUGCUGCUUUCUAUUUAUACAAUCUCUGCAGAUUGCCAGCAGCGUGAACCCAGAGUUGUCAAUAUUUUAUUAGCCUUUUGCUCAUACAAAAGAGGCCACCACAAUUGGUCCUGCUAAGGGCUGAAUUAAUAAAUCUCUUUCUUUGCUAACUUUUUAGGUAAGAUGGAGGGUGACUCAUGCACAAAUAUAUGCAAUAAUAAAAAACUAUUUUGAAUCCUUGUUGAGCGGUUCAGUUUUUUGGGAACUUCAGUAUAUGAAGAAGUAUCACAUUUU
RNAcentral lists this long non-coding RNA (2676 nucleotides) under Salmo salar (Atlantic salmon). RNAcentral describes it as "lncRNA (ENSSSAG00000098794.1)". The record is from RNAcentral. Lineage: Eukaryota; Metazoa; Chordata; Actinopteri; Salmoniformes; Salmonidae.